RNAcentral lists this ribosomal RNA (506 nucleotides) under uncultured bacterium. RNAcentral's name for it is "partial 16S ribosomal RNA". It matches the Rfam family "Bacterial small subunit ribosomal RNA", at positions 30 to 523 of the family's 1533-position model. The record is from RNAcentral.
AUUGAACGCUGGCGGCAGGCCUAACACAUGCAAGUCGAACGGUAACAGGAAACAGCUUGCUGUUUCGCUGACGAGUGGCGGACGGGUGAGUAAUGUCUGGGAAACUGCCUGAUGGAGGGGGAUAACUACUGGAAACGGUAGCUAAUACCGCAUAACGUCGCAAGACCAAAGAGGGGGACCUUCGGGCCUCUUGCCAUCGGAUGUGCCCAGAUGGGAUUAGCUAGUAGGUGGGGUAACGGCUCACCUAGGCGACGAUCCCUAGCUGGUCUGGGAGGAUGACCAGCCACACUGGAAAUGAGACACGGUCCAGACUCCUACGGGAGGCAGCAGUGGGGAAUAUUGCACAAUGGGCGCAAGCCUGAUGCAGCCAUGCCGCGUGUAUGAAGAAGGCCUUCGGGUUGUAAAGUACUUUCAGCGGGAAGGAAGGGAGUAAAGUCAAUACCUUUGCUUAUUGACGUUACCCGCAGAAGAAGCACCGGCUAACUCCGUGCCAGCCGCCGCCGUAA